AUGAACGCUAGCGGCAGGCUUAACACAUGCAAGUCGAGGGGUAUAGUAGCAAUACUAGAGACCGGCGCACGGGUGCGUAACGCGUAUGCAAUCUACCUUUGCAGAGGGAUAGCCCAGAGAAAUUUGGAUUAAUACCUCAUAGUAUAUAUGGAUGGCAUCAUUUAUAUAUUAAAGUCACAACGGCAAAAGAUGAGCAUGCGUCCCAUUAGCUUGUUGGUAAGGUAACGGCUUACCAAGGCAACGAUGGGUAGGGGUCCUGAGAGGGAGAUCCCCCGACACUGGUACUGAGACACGGACCAGACUCCUACGGGAGGCAGCAGUGAGGAAUAUUGGACAAUGGGCGCAAGCCUGAUCCAGCCAUGCCGCGUGCAGGAUGACGGUCCUAUGGAUUGUAAACUGCUUUUGCACAGGAAGAAACAACGCUACGUGUAGCGUCUUGACGGUACUGUGAGAAUAAGGAUCGGCUAACUCCGUG
This 475-nucleotide ribosomal RNA is filed under the name uncultured bacterium. RNAcentral describes it as "bacterial SSU rRNA". It matches the Rfam family "Bacterial small subunit ribosomal RNA", at positions 29 to 507 of the family's 1533-position model. The record is from RNAcentral.